RNAcentral lists this ribosomal RNA (492 nucleotides) under uncultured bacterium. RNAcentral's name for it is "partial 16S ribosomal RNA". It matches the Rfam family "Bacterial small subunit ribosomal RNA", at positions 29 to 507 of the family's 1533-position model. The record is from RNAcentral.
AGUGAACGCUGGCGGUAGGCCUAACACAUGCAAGUCGAACGGCAGCACAGUAAGAGCUUGCUCUUACGGGUGGCGAGUGGCGGACGGGUGAGGAAUACAUCGGAAUCUACUUUUUCGUGGGGGAUAACGGAGGGAAACUUACGCUAAUACCGCAUACGACCUACGGGUGAAAGCAGGGGAUCUUCGGACCUUGCGCGAUUGAAUGAGACGAUGUCGGAUUAGCUAGUUGGCGGGGUAAAGGCCCACCAAGGCGACGAUCCGUAGCUGGUCUGAGAGGAUGAUCAGCCACACUGGAACUGAGACACGGUCCAGACUCCUACGGGAGGCAGCAGUGGGGAAUAUUGGACAAUGGGCGCAAGCCUGAUCCAGCCAUACCGCGUGGGUGAAGAAGGCCUUCGGGUUGUAAAGCCCUUUUGUUGGGAAAGAAAAGCAGCAGGUUAAUACCCCGCUGUUCUGACGGUACCCAAAGAAUAAGCACCGGCUAACUUCGUG